This is a long non-coding RNA of Equus caballus (horse), 1786 nucleotides long. NCBI's taxonomy places the organism in Eukaryota, Metazoa, Chordata, Mammalia, Perissodactyla, Equidae. The record is from Ensembl.
ACUAACGAAUCAUGAUAGAAAGAAACGUUUGUUUCCCACCAAGUAUAUGUAUAAGCUCACAAGCAUUCUGCUGUUGUAUUUGCCACUCACAGAACGUGUUCAUGAUACUAAAUCGUAAAAUCUGUAAACCAAUACCAUUAUUGGGUUUAUAUUUUGGGUUAAACUGUUGACAUGUUCAAACAUUAUAAACGUCAAUAAUCAUGUUACAAGAAGAUAACUACUGGUGUGGAAACAACACUUACAUGUGGCCAUGGGUAAUGGGAGAGGGUCAGAAAUACAGUAUCAAAUCCCUGCAACACAGCAUGAGCUGGAUGCUGCAUAUUAAAGGGCAAAAAUAAGGUAGAGUGAUGAAAACAAGAAGAAGCUGGGUGUCCAAGGUAACUGUUGCCAUGUCAACACAUCAUAAACAGAUUGCCCUCCUUGGAGUAAGUUCAAGGAAUUUUCUGUCGCUCCUGCCCACGGAUUUGAACGUUCAGAAUGAAUUAAGUCUAAGCAAUUUUUAGAAAACUUCUACAUCCUAGAAGUCAAUGGCUACCAAACUGUGAGAAACAGGAAGCAGCGCUCUAGGCCUCACAAUCUAUACAGAAAAUGGAAGUUGAAUAUUAUGAGCAUGGCUGGAUGAGCGGUUUGGAGGUCAGCACCUGGGAUCUGAACCCGUGAACCCCAGGCUGCCAAAGAGGAGAGCAUGAAUUUAAACCACUGUAUUACCGGACCAGCCCGAAGUACAAUAUGUUUUAAAAGAACCACGAUAUGACCUUAUAUUGAACUUUAAAAAUAUCUGACGUUGUCUUUUCUAUGCCUAACAGAAAUUUUACCAUGAAUAAAAUAAUGACAUUCAUGGAAUGAGAGUUAACGUUUUUUGAGUGCUGCUCCUGUGCCAAGGAUGAAACUAGACACAUCAAUGCUCCUGUGCGUCCGCCCACAGCCUGCUUGUCUUCCCCAUCCACACCUCUGUGUCAGACAGUGACAUUAUCAUUUUUUACUGAAUCCAGCUUUCGUUUGCCUGCUUCUGAGAUUUUGCUAAGGCUUUUCAUCUUUUUGGUAUGGAUUCAACUUGUCGUACUUGAAUCUACUUUUAGGAUUUCACUAAGGUUGGAUUCCCCAGGUGUAGCAUCUGAAACAGGUCCGUGAGAUAUGUUGGGGGAGUGCUCUCAGGAGAAAGAGAAUGGAGAAGCAGCAUCAAGCAAAGAAAGCAGCUAAGCAAGGAUGUGCUGUCCACUAGAGCUUAGCUUUAGUAUGUUAGUCAGUCACUGAACACAGACUACAACCCUAUGGGCUGGGAGUAUAGGGGGUGUUCUCCAGUUGGGGUUGUUUUCUGGAGAAUGGAACAGUUCUGAGCCUUAGCAACUCAACCGCUCAGCAGGUGGGGUGUAGGGACCCUGGCUGGUAAAGGUAAUCUAGUUCACCAAUGGAAUCUACCAUGGUUUAUGUUUCAAAAUACUCAGACCAGCUUAUGUUUUACACUCAGUUACUGCAGCGAGGUACAGCUUUUUUUGGAUUUUGGUUGCUCACAAUUUCUGAGAAAACUUACAAGAGGAAGGAUAGUGGGGUAAAUAGUGGGGCAAACUACAAAUCUCAAUGCUAUAGUUGGUCUGGAGGCUGGAACUGAUACUUAUCAUAUCUCCUUCAAAAUUCAUUCUAGAUUGCCCUACCCUUUGGCUGGCACUUCUGUGAGUCUUGGUGGCUUUUCAUGGCGGAUGAUCCAAACCAUCAAGUCAAAGGAGACUUAAGUCCAUUUUUAUGAUGCCCUUGUUAGUCCUCGGAUGCUUUUCUUGUCCAUGUGUGG